Molecule: long non-coding RNA, 4927 nt
Filed under: Malus domestica (apple)
Lineage: Eukaryota; Viridiplantae; Streptophyta; Magnoliopsida; Rosales; Rosaceae
Description: long non-coding RNA (MDOM_LNC006109)
Source: RNAcentral
AAAAUCAACACAAAAUUGCCCUGCGCAAACUCUCACAACUUGAGAUCUUUUUCUUUUCCUUUUUCGCUGACACAUCUUCCGUUGGCAUCAACAGCACUGUGGAAGCAACCGGUGAUAUCUUAAGUCGGCAUAGAUAGCUCUGUCACCGUAGAAUUGGUCGGUCUCGCAGUAUCUUCCGUUGGCAUCAACAGCACUGCGGCGAGAACGGUCGAUUACCUAUCCAAGUCUCGGUCGAGAAGGGUUUUCGAAUCCUUGUUGGUCGAGGUCAUCUCAUUAGCCUUCUCGGCGAGGUGAGGUGUCACAGUUAUUACAUUCGGCACAUUGAAAGCCGAAUUCGGUUCGUGAACUUUGUAAGAAAUAGCAGCCUUGUCUUCAGGCUCGAGAACCCAAGAGGCCGAGACGUGUUCCUUUCUCGGCCGCAAUCGCAAGACGCAGAAGUCAGUAGCGCGACCCAACGCAACAUCAUCAAAUUUACUCCUCGGCCGAGCCUCGGCCGACGAGUUGGCACGCCCCGCAAUCACCGAAGGACGUAGUUAGCUUAGAAUAUACUCGGCCUGCGCGCCACGUAGGCUUGGUAGUUUCUAGGGUCAACAUUUUGGCACGCCCAGUGGGACCUAGUGCUAAAACUACGAAGUUCACAUGAUAGAUCAAGAUGUCAAUCUAGCUCCAUUUAGCCGAUUACACGAGCUCCUAGAGGAAUUGAAAAAAUACAAUGAGGAACAAAAAAGAUCUUUGGAAGUGGAAAAAGUUCUUCGUGGCCAUAGAGAGAUGCAAAAGUCAUUCGCUUACAUGGUGAGAAUAAAAGCUCCUGUUACCUUGCAAGAGCAAUGGGUAAAUGAAGACAGGGCUCGAUUUAAUGCAUGGCUAGAUGAAGAACGUUUUCCUUACGUUUCUGAUUACAGAUCAAUUCCAUUUGAAAAAUGGUUAGGUCCAAAGGUCGGGGGGCAAUUUUUCGCUCCAGCCACAAUCAAAAUUCGGCCUCAAAAAAUUGUUAAGGUGGCCGAAGAAAUAUGUAAGCCACCUGUUGUUUCGGUCGAGACUCAAAGUGUGGUAGGCCUAAAAGAAAAAGUUGAAGUUUCCGAGCCAAAAAUCGACUCAAAAAAUAAUUCGUCAGAAGAGUGCUCCAAUGACGAACAGUGCCAAGACAUGGUCUUAGAUGCCGAAACUAUGACAAUCGAUAUGGUUAUUGGUGAUAAAGCCGAUAUGGAGAAAUCUCAUUCGGCUAAGUUGCUCGAGUUAAAAGCCAAAAUUGGUGAAAUAAUUAUGCCCGGGGGGCAUAAUAAUUGUUCAACACAUUCAGCAGCCGAUGAUAAAAAAUAUUUCGCCAAGUCAAAAAUAUUUGGAGGAAAUUCUUUAUUCGGCCUAGAGCGAAAUCAAUUUGAAGAUUUUGUUAUUACAAGAUCUCGACUUGGAAUAAAGCAUCGUUGGCCUCCUCCUGACUACGGUUCGGCCACUUUUCUUUUCGUUUGUUAAAUAUAUAUAUUAUUUUCUUAAACAUACGGCUAUGCAAGCCGAUGCGUAAGAAAAUAGGGGGCAAUGCCUCGGUAAAAAUUUUGAUCGAAUAAAAGAAAGUUUGGCCGAGUACGAUGAGUUUGGCCGCAUAUAUAUAUACCAAUUCCCCUCGGCCUCGACUUCGGCUCACUUUACAAAAUUAUAAAAGAGGCGGCCAAAGGAUUUUAGUCAGGCAUGGGACCUUUCUGCUUCGGAGCUCAUCAUUCUUUAUUGCAUCACCUCAAAUUUUCUACCAAGAUCAUGGAGUUAUGUUCCUUGCGUAUCAACAGUACAGGCCGAACCAAAAUGACGGCCUGAUAAUCUACAGUUUAGAACAACCAAUAUGGUCCGUGGAAGGCAAGAGGAUUCUGCUCUCGACCAUAUAUAUUUUCGACCAUAGCUUUGGUCAUCAAAUUAAGGUGGUUAGUCGUUAAGCCAAAAAAUGUGAUAAAAAUUUGCAUGGCCGACAACAUUAUUCCAAGGCCAAGAUUUGAUUUUGUGUGUGUGUGCAUAUAUAUAUAUAUGCAUAGCUAAUGAUGUUGGUCUUCGGCCACUCUAAGACCUCGGCCAAUGAUGAGUCCCUCGACCACUAAGCAUAUGGCUAAUGAUCCUCGGCCACUCAAUAAUAAACCUCGGCCAACGAUGAUGUUCCUCGGCCAACUUUUUGCCGAUAUAUGUUAGCCAAGAGGGUUGGUCAAUAACAAAUACUGGGGAAAUCGCCGAGCUGGGCACAAAUGACUAAUUUCCUUAACCGUUCGGCUUACGGGCUGAAGCUCAAGGAAACUGGGGGGCAAUGUUUGGACCCGAUUUUACACCAUCGGCCCAAGUAAUCGAGGCCGUUGGGUAAGCAAUUUUAAAGGAUAGUAUUAUGAUUUUUAUCGUAAUAUUUAUCCGUUAAUAUUAAUUACUCUUGGCAUAUUCUUAUUAUAUUUUCAAGCAAGCAGUACAGUUCGAGUGGGCUUGGAAUUCUUGUUAUCAGAUUGAGAUAACAUGAUGGGUGUGAUUAGAAUUGUCAAGAUGCAUGGUUUUCUUCUAUGCGUUGGAUGCCAAGAUGAAAUCUCUGAUAAUGGAGCCGCUCAUAUCCUAGAUGGGAUAAUUAUUAGCAUAAAAAUAUAUGCUAAUAUAUGCAAAUUGGUUGGCUGACUCCAUCAAAUCCUACGGCCAAGGACCAAUAAGGAUGUGGAGAUUUUGAAUUAAACAAAGUUUUAUUUGGUUGGAUAACUGCAUGAUGACCUCAUGCGAUUAUAUUUGUUUGAUCCCGUCAAACAUGGAUGCUUUUUCAUGGUCUUUUAAAUUGGUAAUGAUCCAAUUUGAGAUAAGGGUUGAUGGGAGUUUAAUCCGCACAUGCAAACCACGCCACAUAUCAAAUACAAUUCUUUGAAGAUCAAGCCACGUUAGGCAUGCUCGUUCCUAUAAAUACAAGGCUACAAACAAUGGAAAAAGCCCCGACAAAAUCAACACAAAAUUGCCCUGCGCAAACUCUCACAACUUGAGAUCUUUUUCUUUUCCUUUUUCGCUGACACAUCUUCCGUUGGCAUCAACAGCACUGUGGAAGCAACCGGUGAUAUCUUAAGUCGGCAUAGAUAGCUCUGUCACCGUAGAAUUGGUCGGUCUCGCAGUAUCUUCCGUUGGCAUCAACAGCACUGCGGCGAGAACGGUCGAUUACCUAUCCAAGUCUCGGUCGAGAAGGGUUUUCGAAUCCUUGUUGGUCGAGGUCAUCUCAUUAGCCUUCUCGGCGAGGUGAGGUGUCACAGUUAUUACAUUCGGCACAUUGAAAGCCGAAUUCGGUUCGUGAACUUUGUAAGAAAUAGCAGCCUUGUCUUCAGGCUCGAGAACCCAAGAGGCCGAGACGUGUUCCUUUCUCGGCCGCAAUCGCAAGACGCAGAAGUCAGUAGCGCGACCCAACGCAACAUCAUCAAAUUUACUCCUCGGCCGAGCCUCGGCCGACGAGUUGGCACGCCCCGCAAUCACCGAAGGACGUAGUUAGCUUAGAAUAUACUCGGCCUGCGCGCCACGUAGGCUUGGUAGAUUUUAGGGUCAACAGUACUAUUGUGUGUAUUUGUAUGCAUGGGAGACAUGGAAUGGUGAAUGAAUAAUACGACUCUAUGCACUUAUGUAGCUUCCAUAUAUAGCUUAUUGAUGAUGAAAUUUACAUGGUUUUGGGUCGAGAUUUCGUAAGAAACACUCUUAGGCAUUUGAGCUACAAGUAUCUUGUCGAUAUAGAAAAUUAUAGUUACUGAAGUGUACUAGAUUCACAGUUUAGUAAUUAUAAUGAGAAAUAAAUAAGUAGAGAAUUUAGAGUUACAAGAGUAUGUUUAUAAAAGUAUAAAACUACGUAGUUUUUCAAUAUAAAUACAAUAUUAUCAUGGAAAAUAAAUGAGAAAAAUUUAGGAUACAAUAAGCCCUCGAGUUUAGGUCAUAUCUGAAAAUGGGUUAGGCUUAGGCAUACAAAUUAUUUGAUUCCUUCCAUUGUAAUUUAAAAGAAUUCGGGUACAAUACUGAUGUUAUCGUCGAGUAUGAAAACUGCCGUAUAAAACAUUAAUUUGUUGUUAAUUCUUUUUCUUUAUUUAUUGCGACAACAAUAUUUGAGUAGAGUGGAAAUUUCAGUUGUCACUUAUCAAUCAUAUUUUGUCAUCAAACUCAACACGUAUGAGCAUGACUUCUACUAGAAACGAAGGUGGGUGCCACUAAGCUGUGAUUAUACUCUGACAAUUUGUUUUUAUGCAACUAUAAAUUUAGAGCAGAUUGUUGACAUGGGAGUACUUGUUUGGUUGGGUGAGCUAACCACCAACAUUUAUUUUGAGCAUACCAGCUUAUACGGCGUUGCUUUUAUCUAGAGGGCGGUCGUUGCAAUCAGUCCAUAACGUUUGGCGAGAAAAGUCGUCCAAUAUAUAUUUUGUUGUUCAGUUUCGGAGUAAUACUGUACCUCUCAGUGGCUCUUUCCUCAUGUUAUGGAUCGUAUUAUAAGACCCGAAUAAUUUUAGAAAGUUUAAUGUGUUGUAAAUAGUAUAAUAUGUAUGCCCACAUGCAUACAGUGAACAUGUCAUAUGUUUAACAGUAUUUUUGUUUGUUUCCAUGGUGAUGCUCUAUAAAUAGAGCUUUACGAAUGUUCAACAAAGCAGAGAAAAAAGGAAGAGAAAAAUAUCUAAUUGUAAUAAUAUACAUUACUUCCUCUGCAACAGCUUGUGUUGGUAUAAUACUCUACAACUGCUUCGUUCCUGUCCCGAAUAAAGGUUAUCUCUCUAUAACUUUUACAUUUUUAUAACACGUUAUCAGCACGAGUCUCUAAGUAUAACCAUGUCUCAUUUACAUUCACUAAACAAUAAAGGAAAUCAUUCUCUCAUUUCUCUCCGCCGAACGAAAAAAAAAAAAAAUGUUUCCUCUAAGGUUUUUCCUGUUCAUCUUCUUCAUCUGCCUCAACUGCGCGGUAUAUCCU